RNAcentral lists this ribosomal RNA (253 nucleotides) under uncultured bacterium. RNAcentral's name for it is "partial 16S ribosomal RNA". It matches the Rfam family "Bacterial small subunit ribosomal RNA", at positions 524 to 776 of the family's 1533-position model. The record is from RNAcentral.
UACGGCGGGUGCAAGCGUUAAUCGGAAUUACUGGGCGUAAAGCGUGCGCAGGCGGUUUGUUAAGUCCGUUGUGAAAGCCCCGAGCUCAACUUGGGAAUUGCAGUGGAUACUGGCAGGCUGGAGUACGGUAGAGGAAGGUGGAAUUCCCGGUGUAGCAGUGAAAUGCGUAGAUAUCGGGAGGAACACCAGUGGCGAAGGCGGCCUUCUGGACCAGUACUGACGCUCAUGCACGAAAGCGUGGGGAGCAAACAGG